Molecule: microRNA precursor, 62 nt
Filed under: Panagrellus redivivus
Lineage: Eukaryota; Metazoa; Nematoda; Chromadorea; Rhabditida; Panagrolaimidae
Description: microRNA prd-mir-7894 precursor
Source: miRBase by way of RNAcentral
GCUAGUAGGUUGGCGACAUGCUGUGAUGAUGAAUAGUCAGCAUGCCGUUAAGCUAGUUGGUU